This 497-nucleotide ribosomal RNA is filed under the name uncultured bacterium. Its description in RNAcentral is "partial 16S ribosomal RNA". It matches the Rfam family "Bacterial small subunit ribosomal RNA", at positions 28 to 507 of the family's 1533-position model. The record is from RNAcentral.
GAUGAACGCUGGCGGCGUGCCUAAUACAUGCAAGUCGAGCGAACAGACGAGGAGCUUGCUCCUCUGACGUUAGCGGCGGACGGGUGAGUAACACGUGGAUAACCUACCUAUAAGACUGGGAUAACUUCGGGAAACCGGAGCUAAUACCGGAUAAUAUAUUGAACCGCAUGGUUCAAUAGUGAAAGACGGUUUUGCUGUCACUUAUAGAUGGAUCCGCGCUGCAUUAGCUAGUUGGUAAGGUAACGGCUUACCAAGGCAACGAUGCGUAGCCGACCUGAGAGGGUGAUCGGCCACACUGGAACUGAGACACGGUCCAGACUCCUACGGGAGGCAGCAGUAGGGAAUCUUCCGCAAUGGGCGAAAGCUUGACGGAGCAACGCCGCGUGAGUGAUGAAGGUCUUCGGAUCGUAAAACUCUGUUAUUAGGGAAGAACAAAUGUGUAAGUAACUAUGCACAUCUUGACGGUACCCAAUCAGAAAGCCACGGCUAACUACGUG